This 253-nucleotide ribosomal RNA is filed under the name uncultured bacterium. RNAcentral's name for it is "partial 16S ribosomal RNA". It matches the Rfam family "Bacterial small subunit ribosomal RNA", at positions 524 to 776 of the family's 1533-position model. The record is from RNAcentral.
UACGAAGGGGGCUAGCGUUGCUCGGAAUCACUGGGCGUAAAGAGCUCGUAGGCGGUUUGUUGCGUCGGCUGUGAAAUCCCGAGGCUCAACCUCGGGUCUGCAGUCGAUACGCGCAAACUAGAGUGUUGCAGGGGAGACUGGAAUUCCUGGUGUAGCGGUGAAAUGCGCAGAUAUCAGGAGGAACACCGGUGGCGAAGGCGGGUCUCUGGGCAACAACUGACGCUGAGGAGCGAAAGCGUGGGGAGCGAACAGG